Molecule: non-coding RNA, 30 nt
Filed under: Cricetulus griseus (Chinese hamster)
Lineage: Eukaryota; Metazoa; Chordata; Mammalia; Rodentia; Cricetidae
Source: RNAcentral
CUGAUGAUGACCUGAGUUCAGUCCCUGAAG